Molecule: small nucleolar RNA, 82 nt
Filed under: Octodon degus (degu)
Lineage: Eukaryota; Metazoa; Chordata; Mammalia; Rodentia; Octodontidae
Description: Small nucleolar RNA SNORA40 (ENSODEG00000022236.1)
Rfam family: Small nucleolar RNA SNORA40
About the family: The snoRNA ACA 40 belongs to the H/ACA family of snoRNAs and guides the pseudouridylation of 28S rRNA subunit at position U4565. NB This family has a high threshold value to exclude a large number of closely related sequences that do not appear to have conserved H and ACA boxes, and may be pseudogenes.
Source: Rfam by way of RNAcentral
GUUUGAAACAAAAAUAAGUCCUUUUUUGCAACCCAGAACUCAUUGUUUGGUAUGAGUUUUGAUACAUUAGAGAGGGAAUCUU